Molecule: non-coding RNA, 420 nt
Organism: Mauremys mutica (yellowpond turtle)
Lineage: Eukaryota; Metazoa; Chordata; Testudines; Geoemydidae
Source: the annotation of a RefSeq genome assembly
AUGGCCGGGAAAGUUUUCAUUGCUGUGGCUUUGGAAGGUGUCCGGUCCCAGGUGCAGCUGGUGGAGUCCGGAGGGGAUGUGAAAAAGCCCGGAGACUCUCUCCGCCUCUCCUGCAAAGCCUCCGGGUUCACCUUCAGAAGCUACUGGAUGGACUGGGUCCGCCAGGCCCCCGGGAAGGGGCUGGAGUGGGUCGCCCGUAUCAGCAGUGGCAGUGGGAGUAGCACAUACUACGCUGAUGCAGUCAAAGGGCGAUUCACCAUCUCCAGGGACAAUCCCAGCAACCUGCUGUAUCUGCAACUGACCGGCCUGAAACCCGAGGACACCGCCCGCUAUUACUGUGCGAGAGACACAGUGGGGGGAAUCUCGACAGGGCUCAUACAAAAACCCGAGGCGCAGAACCGCCCUUCUCCCUGUGUGUGA